UGCGAGUAGAGAAUUAGAUUCUUUGCAUACUGCUCAGUAACACGUGGAUAACCUGCCCUGUGCUGGAGGAUAAUCUCGGGAAACUGAGCAUAAUACCCCAUAGGUCACAACGCCUGGAACGGUGUGUGGCUGAAAGCUCCGGCGGCACAGGAUGGGUCUGCGGCGUAUCAGGUAGUAGGGGGUGUAAUGGACCCCCUAGCCAUCAACGCGUACGGGUUGUGGGAGCAAUAGCCCGGAGACGGAUUCUGGGACACGAAUCCGGACCCUACGGGGUGCAGCAGGCGCGAAAACUUCACACUGCAGGCAACUGUGAUGAGGGAACUCCAAGUGACUGCACAAUGUGUAGCCUUUUCUUGACUGUUAACAAGUCUUGGAAUAAGGGCUGGGAAAGACCGGUGCCAGCCGCCGCGGUAAUACCGGCAGCUCAAGUGGUCGUCGUUUUUAUUGGGCCUAAAACGUCCGUAGCCUGCUCAGUAAACCCGUGGGUAAAUCAGCCAGCUUAACUGGUUGAAUUCUGCGGAGACUGCUGGACUAGGGACCGGGAGAGGUAUGAGGUACUCUCAGGGUAGGGGUAAAAUCCUGUCAUCCUGAGAGGACCACCUGUUGCGAAGGCGUCAUACUGGAACGGAUCCGACGGUCAGGGACGAAGCCUAGGGGCACGAACCGGAUUAGAUACCCGGGUAGUCCUAGGUGUAAACGCUGUGGACUUGGUGUUGGAGAUCCAUCAUGGGUCUUCAGUGCCGCAGCGAAGGUGUUAAGUCCACUGCCUGGGGAGUACGGUCGCAAGGCU
RNAcentral lists this ribosomal RNA (790 nucleotides) under uncultured Nitrososphaerota archaeon. RNAcentral describes it as "bacterial SSU rRNA". It matches the Rfam family "Archaeal small subunit ribosomal RNA", at positions 52 to 850 of the family's 1478-position model. The record is from RNAcentral. Lineage: Archaea; Thermoproteati; Nitrososphaerota.